Molecule: long non-coding RNA, 4189 nt
Organism: Acipenser ruthenus (sterlet)
Lineage: Eukaryota; Metazoa; Chordata; Actinopteri; Acipenseriformes; Acipenseridae
Exons: 3
Source: RefSeq, a predicted model, not a curated record
CCCCUACAAGAAGAUAUCUUCGGCCAGCUUUCGGAUAGCGCUUAGAGUGACCGGCAAAGCUCUAAGUUCCUCUGAGUUUAAGUUUUUACCAUCCAAGCUGACGACGAGGUAAACAGACAGCCCUUGUUUUAUUCCCUGCAGUGUUGGCACUGAACUCUGCUGGAAAAAAAGGGAUGUGAAGGACUGUUGUGCUGUAAGUCGUUCAUCUUGGGUUGUCUGUCGGGACUGUACUGUAAAAUAACAUUUGCUUACUAAGGUGGGUGUACAUUAGUUUGUAUUACAUGCUGGAACAAGUCUUUGAAAAAGGAUAUCUCACACCUUCAGCAGUUACUUCAAUCUGUAAAAGGCUCAGCUCACCGCUACCACCCCUGCGCUGACUUGGGAGGGGCGAAGAUGAACACACGCUGUCCUCCGAAGCGUGUGCCGUCAGCCGCCCGCUUCUUUGCAUUCUGCAGACUCACCGUGCAGCCGCCUCAGAGCUACAGCGUCGGAGGACAACGCAACUCUGGGCAGCUUACAGGCAAGCCUGCAGGCGUCCGGCCAGACUACAGGGCGCGGUGAGACGAGGACACCCUGGCCGACCUAUCCGAAGAUGUGGUGAUGCUGGAUGCAGACUCUCAAAUCUCAAUUUCAAAAAACCGACUGAGACUGUGCACCCACGCCGACUACAGGAAGCUGAAGAAUGAUUUAAUGGAUGCCUUCUUUACAAAGGAGCAGCAAGCAUCCCAUUCGAUGAUAGGAUCCUGGGCUGGAGUGAGGAAAAUGCCUAAACCUGCACUACAUCAGGAUAUCCUCAAAGCCAUUACUUGUAUAGCUUUUCAGAUUUGUUUCUAGUACUGUAUGUGUGGAUUCACUACAACCUUCUAGCAGAACUAGCAGCAGGCACAUGCUGGAUUCUAUAAUUCAAUCUGCAGGAGAUCUUGCAGAUGUUAAAUGUCUGCAUAUUAUUAUUAUUAUUAUUAUUAUUAUUAUUAUUAUUAUUAUUAUUAUUAUGUAUUUCUUAGCAGACACCCUUAUCCAGGGCGACUUACAGUCGUAAACAAAAAUACAUUUCAAGAAUCAAAGUACAAGUAAUAAUACAAUUAAGAGCAAGAUAAAUACAAUGACUUUGGUUUUAGCAAGUACAAGUAUGACAAAAUACAAUUCAAUAACGGAGCAGAUAACAGUGUCAGUGAUAGUUACAUCAGGAUAUAAUUAAAUACAAAAUACUACAGAUUAAAUAACACUUGACAGAUUACAGUACUCUAAAGUACAGGAUUAAAUGCAAAAAUCUGAUCACCUGGAUAUAUGGGAAGGGAGGCUGCUCUACUCCAGCCCACUGUUUUAUUUUUUUUACACAAACACAAGGAGUGCAGCAGUACUGGAUGUCUGCUGCUAAAUUGAAAUAUUUAGAAUUUAUCGAUUGUCACCCGAGUGAUCCAGUGUCAUAAGUUUUCCCCCUUUGAACAUUUGUUGGUUGUUAAUACACAAAGUACCAGUUUAAAAAUAUUUAAAAUAGAGAAACUAUAGUAAAACAAUGCUAAAAAGUAAAAAUAGUAAAAUAAGCCGUAGCUAUAGAGUCAAGAUCAUAUAUUAUUAACUCACUAUCCUGUGUAGCCUUCCAUGCAGUGGCUGCUGUAGUUACUCUAUAUUACUAUUUCAUAUUUUUCUUUUUCUUUAUGGGUACAUAUUGUUGGAUUGACUGAUAUGUAACUUACAGUAAUUACUAAUAAAUUCCAAUGUAUAUGUCUAACAACAAAUAUUGCACUCAGCAAAUAUAUCGGGUUGAAAACAAUGGGACUGAGUUUAGAGUUAGGAAUCUGUCAUCCACCUAACAUACCUUAUAUAGCCUAUAUAACUGGGCAGCGAACCUCCUCUUAAGGGGAGUCCCCAGCAGCUCAGGCUUCACCGCGAGGUGGUAAGUCUCAUCUGGGAGAGGUUUAGGAGAGCAGAGAUAGGCCUGUUUGCCUCCCGCGAAUCAACCCACUGUCCCCUCUGGUUCUCCAUAACAGGAGGCGGGGAACUGCUGGGAAUAGAUGCCUUGGCACACCAGUGGCCAAGGUGCUGCUAGCAGCUGCAUUUUGGCCCAGGAGAAUCUGGUUUUCAAACCUGAUGCAGCUCCUGAGCGGUCAGCCGUGGAGGCUGUCGAUACGCCAUGACCUGCUCAGCAAGGCUCGGGGGACCUUAUGGCAUCUCGACCCAUCGAGCCUGCAUCUUUGGGUCUGGCCCCUGAAUGGCUGCAUUUGAGCCAUCUGGGACUUUCCAACAGGGUUAUUGACACCCUACAGAAUGCCAAGGCAGCGUCCACUCAUUCCCAGUAUGGCUACAAGUGAGGUGUCUUCCAGACAUGGUGCCUACCUGUGGGUUUCACCCCACGACUUGUCCCAUGGCAGUUAUACUGCAAUUUAUGCAGGACCUUUUUGAUGAAUGGAAAGGUCUAUCUGGCAGCUAUUUCAGCUUGCCAUGUCAAGAUUGACUGUUCCCCAGAAAUUGCUAUUUUUUAAAGCUGCUUUCUUGCUUGCUAUCACCGCAAAGUGGGUCAGUGAGAUGCAGGCAUUCUCUAUCGCGAAAGCCUACUUAUUUUUUUACAGAGGCCAGGACAAGGUCAAGCUCCACACCAAUCCUGCCUUCUUGCCGAAGACUAUCUCAGCUUUCCAUGUCAACCAGUCUGUAGAAUUGGAGGCAUUCCAUCCAUCUUCUUUCCAGUCUGACAGGGAGAGACAGCUCCAUAUGCUCUGCUCAGUUCGGGCCCUUGCGUAGUAUGUUGACAGGACAAAACGUUGGAGGCAGUCUAAACAAUUUAUUGUCUGCUAUGGGUCAAAGUCCUGUGGUCAAGCCCUGCCUAAGCAGCGGCUGUCCAAGUGGGUAGCAGACAUGGUCAGGACUGCCUAUAAGCUGGUCAACUUGCCCCCUCCAGAAAAGCUCACUGCUAAAUGCACCAGGGGCAUUGCAACUUCAUGGGCUUUAUUCCACGGUGCAUCUGUCAAGACAUUUGCAAUGCAGCGGUGUGGGCUACUCCCCAUAUCUUCACUAAGUUCUAUAGGCUAAAUGUUGUGGAUCCUCAAAACCCUGGCUUUGGAACAAGAGUGUUAAGGGUGGCAUCCCAGUCGACCCUUAAAACACAGGCAUAGAGGUGAAAUUCUCCCUCAAUUUUAUCACCCUACCUACUUGUUACUGGGGUUCCGAAUGGUAAAGCACACGGUAGGCUCUCGGCUUAGCCUUGUAGCAUUCCAGUUGUUCUGCAAUCAUGUCCUUGCGAAUGCUUGAGUAUACUCACCCAUUCGUUAAUGGUUACAUUUUGUACUUGAAAGGGAACGUUAGGUUAUUAUCAUAACCCUGAUUCCCUGAAAUAGAAAUGUAACCAUUAACCUUCAAGGUCGCUUUGUCCAUGAUUGCAGCAGGCUUUAAGGAAACAUGACAAUGAGAUCUGUGAGCGCAGUAUUUUUGAUCCCUUGGGGGCAGGGUCACGACUGAGUCAAAGGUUCAAAGAGCAGCUUUGGUGUAAAGUAUUCCGGAUUCUGGUCUUUAGGAGGUAAAUAUCAAUUCAGUAAUGGUUACAUAUCUAUUUCAAGGAACCAGGGUUAUAAUAAUACUGUAUACUAUAAUAACGUUUCUGAAAAUGUUCCCUUCUUGUUGUUCCCGUGCUGUGCAGAGCAAUUUUAAUAAUAAUAAUCAUCAUUAAGCACCACCAUCAAAUAACAGCAUAUAUCACCAGCUCUCCAAAUUGGCAACAAAAAAGGCAAGGCCAAUGUUGGAGAAACAUGCACUUUAAGAAAUGAUAGUUUGAAAGAUUAACUGUUUAGUUUUAGAUUGUUAGUAUUUGGUUUUCAUUUAGUUAGUUAGUUAAAAGACAAUUUGGGUUUAAUAUUAAUUACUGGAGCAGGAAGACAGACCGUAAGGGGACAGGUUUAAAGUGCACCAAAUGGCAAUUUAAAAGGGAACCCUGAGCUUUGUCAGAGAACUCUCUGGGGGGCUAAAACCUUCAAAAGCUUAAACAAUCUCCUUCCUUUAAACUGUAUUGUUCCUGAGUGGAACAUCAAACAGGCUUUGAUGUUACAAUCACUUAAGGUAAUCAAAUGAAACUGGACUCACGUGGUCAAUGAUAUUCUGAUAGGUUAAGGAUUAAGGGGUGAUGUCAUAAGGUUAAGUCAAUAUUAACCCCAACAUUGUAUUGUCUUGUUGAUUCUGUUUUGACCUGUGCUUAGGGAAA